UACGAAGGGGGCUAGCGUUGCUCGGAAUCACUGGGCGUAAAGGGCGCGUAGGCGGCGUUUUUAAGUCGGGGGUGAAAGCCUGUGGCUCAACCACAGAAUGGCCUUCGAUACUGGGACGCUUGAGUAUGGUAGAGGUUGGUGGAACUGCGAGUGUAGAGGUGAAAUUCGUAGAUAUUCGCAAGAACACCAGUGGCGAAGGCGGCUCACUGGCCCGAUACUGACGCUGAGGCACGAAAGCGUGGGGAGCAAACAGGG
This 255-nucleotide ribosomal RNA is filed under the name uncultured bacterium. RNAcentral describes it as "partial 16S ribosomal RNA". It matches the Rfam family "Bacterial small subunit ribosomal RNA", at positions 524 to 777 of the family's 1533-position model. The record is from RNAcentral.